AUUGAACGCUGGCGGCAUGCUUUACACAUGCAAGUCGAACGGUAACAGGUUAAGCUGACGAGUGGCGAACGGGUGAGUAAUGCAUCGGAACGUGCCCGAUCGUGGGGGAUAACGCAGCGAAAGCUGCGCUAAUACCGCAUACGAUCUGAGGAUGAAAGCGGGGGACCGCAAGGCCUCGCGCGAUCGGAGCGGCCGAUGUCAGAUUAGGUAGUUGGUGGGGUAAAGGCUCACCAAGCCGACGAUCUGUAGCUGGUCUGAGAGGACGACCAGCCACACUGGGACUGAGACACGGCCCAGACUCCUACGGGAGGCAGCAGUGGGGAAUUUUGGACAAUGGGCGAAAGCCUGAUCCAGCAAUGCCGCGUGCAGGAAGAAGGCCUUCGGGUUGUAAACUGCUUUUGUACGGAACGAAAAGGUUUGGCCUAAUAAGCUGAGCUCAUGACGGUACCGUAAGAAUAAGCACCGGCUAACUACGUGCCAGCCGCCGCCGUAA
Molecule: ribosomal RNA, 493 nt
Filed under: uncultured bacterium
Lineage: Bacteria
Description: partial 16S ribosomal RNA
Rfam family: Bacterial small subunit ribosomal RNA
Source: RNAcentral